CCUACGGGAGGCAGCAGUGGGGAAUAUUGCACAAUGGAGGGAACUCUGAUGCAGCGACGCCGCGUGAGUGAAGAAGUAAUUCGUUAUGUAAAGCGCUAUCAGAAGGGAAGAAAGUGACGGUAACUGAAAAAGAAGCUCCGGCCAAAUACGUGCCAGAAGCCGCGGUAAUACGUAUGGCGCAAACGUUAGCCGGAUUUACUGGGGGUAAAGGGAGAGGGGGUGGCAGAGCAAGUCCGAAGUGAAAACCCAAAGCUCAACUAUGGGAAUGCUUUAGAGACUGCUCAGCUAGAGUGCAGGAGAGGCAAGUGGAAUUCUAAGUGAAGCGGUGAAAUGCGUAGAUAUAAGGAGGAACACCAGUGGCGAAGGCAGCUUGCUGGACUGUAACUGACACUGAGGGUCGAAAGCGUGGGGAGCAAACAGGAUUAGAUACCCCAGUAGUC
This 440-nucleotide ribosomal RNA is filed under the name uncultured bacterium. RNAcentral's name for it is "partial 16S ribosomal RNA". It matches the Rfam family "Bacterial small subunit ribosomal RNA", at positions 338 to 795 of the family's 1533-position model. The record is from RNAcentral.